UACGGGGGGGGCAAGCGUUGUUCGGAAUUACUGGGCGUAAAGGGUUCGUAGGUGGCCUGUUAAGUCGGACGUGAAAUCCCUCGGCUCAACCGGGGAACUGCGUCCGAUACUGGUGGGCUUGAGUGCAGGAGAGGAACGCGGAAUUCCAGGUGUAGCGGUGAAAUGCGUAGAUAUCUGGAGGAACACCGGUGGCGAAGGCGGCGUUCUGGACUGCAACUGACACUGAGGAACGAAAGCCAGGGGAGCAAACGGG
This 253-nucleotide ribosomal RNA is filed under the name uncultured bacterium. RNAcentral's name for it is "partial 16S ribosomal RNA". It matches the Rfam family "Bacterial small subunit ribosomal RNA", at positions 524 to 776 of the family's 1533-position model. The record is from RNAcentral.